RNAcentral lists this ribosomal RNA (23 nucleotides) under Cladonia furcata. Its description in RNAcentral is "partial 28S ribosomal RNA". The record is from RNAcentral. Lineage: Eukaryota; Fungi; Ascomycota; Lecanoromycetes; Lecanorales; Cladoniaceae. RNAcentral also lists the same sequence under 1 other name.
UUGACCUCGGAUCAGGUAGGAUA